Long non-coding RNA from Quercus lobata, 1287 nucleotides. RefSeq lists it as uncharacterized. Lineage: Eukaryota; Viridiplantae; Streptophyta; Magnoliopsida; Fagales; Fagaceae. The record is from RefSeq and is a predicted model, not a curated record. The transcript is spliced from 2 exons.
AAUUAUUCUUUGAUCUACAUCUUAUACAAAUAUGUGAAAUAUAUCUAUAUUAAUAUAGGAUAACUGGCCCACAUAGCCAAUGAUUUACAAAGUGUACAAAAGAUUUAGUCAUUCUAUACUUCAUUUUCUUAGUCAUUAAUGCUAUAUUUAGCAUGUUCACUAAAAUCUGCCACAUGUUGGUUGAGGGAUGCCACUUAAAUUGCCUUUAUGCUGAACUAAUGAAAAACCUUGAAGGAUUUUGGGGACAAUUCAAGUAAAUUUUCAUUAAAUGCUAGCCCAUAUUGCUGUUGCCCCAUCGCCCUAUAUCUCCUUGGUGGCGGCAUGUCACCGUGUUAAAUAUUUAUAGCCGUAGUGGAAAUGUCAAAUGUGAUGCCCUAGAUGGUGGAGGCAAGCCGUGUUGGUAGAGAGAUGGUCUUUUGAUGGUAGAGGUGUUGUAGGCAGUGGCAGUGUUUCUCUAAUCGGUGGGCUGCGUGAUAGUAAUAAUCUUGGCAUGUGGGAUGUCAUGACUAUGUGUAUCAAAAUUAAAGUUAGCUGGAAAAUCAUUGUGUUUCAUAUCUAAUAUAAAAUAAGUUAUAUCAUAAAAAUUGGGUCUCACAUCCUGUAUUGUGUUAAUGCUUUGUUUGUUUCGGUGGAAAAAAAGUCCAUAGAGUGGAGUUGUGGAAAACGUUUUUCACUUUUACGUAACAUAUUCAAUAGACUUGCACAAAUACACUGCACACCACAAAAAACUCAUUACUAACUUAUCUCUCUUCAUCCCCUUUCUCUCUACAUAGAUUGAUUGUUGACUUUUUCCAAAUGACUUUCUUUCUCCAUCCAGUCGUUUUCCCACAUAAUUUUUCAUGCAGAUUCUAAAUGUGUUUUUUUUUUUUUUUUUUUUCAUUAAGCAUCCCCAAUGGCGUAAAAAAUAGGAAAUGUUUUCCCAUUUGGAUCUACUUUUGUGAAGUAAAGUUUUUGUUCUGCAAUUGUUUGGAAUUACAAAGCAUAUUAAUGAUUUUUCUGUGCAAACCAACAAUCAAAAAAUUUUGUAUGGCCAUUUUCAAGAUUGCAAUCAAACACAGGAAAACAAGUCACUUUUCAUAAAGUGUUUCUCAGAAAACGUUUUUCGUUGGAACAAAUGAAGCAUUUAUUUUACAUUCUCUGGAUACUUUCUCUUUUGUUAUAGUUCAUGUUUGAGUUCCCAUAUCUCCUUACUCCUUAGUGAUCAUAUCUUACUGAAGUAUGUUGAAAAAUUGAAUCAUAAUGGAUUAGGUGAUCAAAUCUUAAAAAAAAAAAAAAAAAAAUUGCAAU